UGAGGAACAUGACCUUCGGCGGGGGAGUAGCCGGCCCAACGGCCGGGUAAUACCGCGUACGACCACAUGGGGACAUCCCUGAGUGGUGAAAGCAGCAAUGCGCCGAUGGAGUGCCUCGCGGCCUAUCAGCUAGUUGGUGAGGUAACGGCUCACCAAGGCGACGACGGGUAGCUGGUCUGAGAGGAUGGCCAGCCACAUUGGGACUGAGACACGGCCCAGACCUNUACGGGAGG
This 233-nucleotide ribosomal RNA is filed under the name uncultured bacterium. RNAcentral's name for it is "partial 16S ribosomal RNA". It matches the Rfam family "Bacterial small subunit ribosomal RNA", at positions 118 to 347 of the family's 1533-position model. The record is from RNAcentral.